GACGGUUUGGCCGAGGGUCUAAGGCCGCCAGAUUUAGGCUCUGGUUCGAAAUGGCGUGGGUUCAAAUCCCACAAAUGUUU
This 80-nucleotide transfer RNA is filed under the name Ipomoea nil (Japanese morning glory). It matches the Rfam family "tRNA". From Rfam's summary of the family: Transfer RNA (tRNA) molecules are approximately 80 nucleotides in length. Their secondary structure includes four short double-helical elements and three loops (D, anti-codon, and T loops). The record is from Rfam by way of RNAcentral. Lineage: Eukaryota; Viridiplantae; Streptophyta; Magnoliopsida; Solanales; Convolvulaceae.